AACGGUAACAGGAAAUAGCUUGCUAUUUUGCUGACGAGUGGCGCACGGGUGCGUAACGCGUAUACAAUCUACCUUUUGCUGAGGGAUAGCCCAGAGAAAUUUGGAUUAAUACCUCAUGGUAUUAUUGAUAGGCAUCUAUUAAUAAUUAAAGAUUACGGCAAAAGAUGAGUAUGCGUCCCAUUAGCUAGUUGGUGAAGUAACGGUUCACCAAGGCAACGAUGGGUAGGGGUCCUGAGAGGGAGAUCCCCCACACUGGUACUGAGACACGGACCAGACUCC
RNAcentral lists this ribosomal RNA (279 nucleotides) under unidentified marine bacterioplankton. RNAcentral's name for it is "partial 16S ribosomal RNA". It matches the Rfam family "Bacterial small subunit ribosomal RNA", at positions 65 to 339 of the family's 1533-position model. The record is from RNAcentral. RNAcentral also lists the same sequence under 1 other name.